Molecule: long non-coding RNA, 291 nt
Filed under: Manacus vitellinus (golden-collared manakin)
Lineage: Eukaryota; Metazoa; Chordata; Aves; Passeriformes; Pipridae
Description: lncRNA (ENSMVIG00005009946.1)
Source: RNAcentral
GGCUCCAGGGCGUCCCGGGCAGCCGCCCAUCCCAGCCCUUGCUGCCGUGCGAGCGCCCUGGCCGCAGCAGCAGUGCCACCCGCGGCCUGCGCCGCAGCGCUUAACGAGGUCAGCGAAGUUCUCUGUUACGACUUGUUAGCUAUUGUCAGAUGCCCAACUGUACAAGGAUGUGAGGUUCUAACUAAUUCAGAUGGCAGUACUGGAAUUGUUGCGGAGAAACAAGAAGAGACUUUCUGCAGGAAAGAACAAACAUUGCCUCAGUGGAAGAAAAAGGGAACAGAAGCAAACUGA